AAAAUAGAGAACAGAAUGAUAAGAGAUACAAGUUAAAAGAUUCUCACAAUUUAGAGCUGUUACUUUUCUUUUCUUUCCUUUCCUUGUUUUUUCCAUUUUCCUAUCCUU
This 108-nucleotide non-coding RNA is filed under the name uncultured Ochromonas. Lineage: Eukaryota; Chrysophyceae; Chromulinales; Chromulinaceae. The record is from RNAcentral.